AUGCAGCCGAGCGGUAGAGAUUCUUCGGAAUCUUGAGAGCGGCGUACGGGUGCGGAACACGUGUGCAACCUGCCUUUAUCAGGGAGAUAGCCUUUCGAAAGGAAGAUUAAUACCCCAUAAUAUAUUAAGUGGCAUCACUUGAUAUUGAAAACUACGGUGGAUAGAGAUGGGCACGCGCAAGAUUAGAUAGUUGGUGAGGUAACGGCUCACCAAGUCUACGAUCUUUAGGGGGCCUGAGAGGGUGAUCCCCCACACUGGUACUGAGACACGGACCAGACUCCUACGGGAGGCAGCAGUGAGGAAUAUUGGACAAUGGGUGNAAGCCUGAUCCAGCCAUCCCGCGUGAAGGACGACGGCCCUAUGGGUUGUAAACUUCUUUUGUAUAGGGAUAAACCUAGAUACGUGUAUCUAGCUGAAGGUACUAUACGAAUAAGCACCGGCUAACUCCGUGCCAGCAGCCGCGGUAAUACGGAGGGUGCAAGCGUUAUCCGGAUUUAUUGGGUUUAAAGGGUCCGUAGGCNGGAUCUGUAAGUCAGUGGUGAAAUCUCACAGCUUAACUGUGAAACUGCCAUUGAUACUGCAGGUCUUGAGUGUUGUUGAAGUAGCUGGAAUAAGUAGUGUAGCGGUGAAAUGCAUAGAUAUUACUUAGAACACCAAUUGCGAAGGCAGGUUACUAAGCAACAACUGACGCUGAUGGACGAAAGCGUGGGGAGCGAACAGGAUUAGAUACCCUGGUAGUCCACGCCGUAAACGAUGCUAACUCGUUUUUGGAUUUUCGGAUUCAGAGACUAAGCGAAAGUGAUAAGUUAGCCACCUGGGGAGUACGUUCGCAAGAAUGAAACUCAAAGGAAUUGACGGGGGCCCGCACAAGCGGUGGAUUAUGUGGUUUAAUUCGAUGAUACGCGAGGAACCUUACCAAGGCUUAAAUGGGAAAUGACAGGUUUAGAAAUAGANCUUUUCUUCGGACAUUUUUCAAGGUGCUGCAUGGUUGUCGUCAGCUCGUGCCGUGAGGUGUUAGGUUAAGUCCUGCAACGAGCGCAACCCCUGUCACUAGUUGCCAUCAUUAAGUUGGGGACUCUAGUGAGACUGCCUACGCAAGUAGAGAGGAAGGUGGGGAUGACGUCAAAUCAUCACGGCCCUUACGCCUUGGGCCACACACGUAAUACAAUGGCCAGUACAGAGGGCAGCUACACAGCGAUGUGAUGCAAAUCUCGAAAGCUGGUCUCAGUUCGGAUUGGAGUCUGCAACUCGACUCUAUGAAGCUGGAAUCGCUAGUAAUCGCGCAUCAGCCAUGGCGCGGUGAAUACGUUCCCGGGCCUUGUACACACCGCCCGUCAAGCCAUGGAAGUCUGGGGUACCUGAAGUCGGUGACCGUAACAGGAGCU
RNAcentral lists this ribosomal RNA (1385 nucleotides) under Chryseobacterium sp. RNAcentral describes it as "bacterial SSU rRNA". It matches the Rfam family "Bacterial small subunit ribosomal RNA". Lineage: Bacteria; Pseudomonadati; Bacteroidota; Flavobacteriia; Flavobacteriales; Weeksellaceae. The record is from RNAcentral.